Mesocricetus auratus (golden hamster) is the source of this 1377-nucleotide long non-coding RNA. RefSeq lists it as uncharacterized. The transcript is spliced from 4 exons. NCBI's taxonomy places the organism in Eukaryota, Metazoa, Chordata, Mammalia, Rodentia, Cricetidae. The record is from RefSeq and is a predicted model, not a curated record.
CGGCAGGCUCUCGCCCAGUCCUCACGCCCCAGCCUCACUCUGCCCUGCGGACUGGCCUUGGACGAGCUGCUCCCUGCAGACAAUUCCCGGCCCUCCAGAAAUAGUGCCUGAGAAUGUGAAAGAGUGGACUUGGACCGUGAGGGUCACCUCGGGCGCUGGCGGGGCUGGCCUGUCAUCACCACACACCUGCUCCAGCUGGUCUGUCCCCCACAGCGGAGGACCACUUAGGAUGGAUUGAAGGGCCCAAGGGGACCCUUUAUUCCCAGCCUGCAUCUUGAGGGCCUUCUGUGCACGGUCCUAGCACCUCUGAUGAAGAUGGUGAUGACUUCCAUGCUCCUUCACCAACUCCUCCCCUGUGGGCUCCUCCCACCUCAAGGCAGAUGGUGUAGCCAAGAAAGACCAAGGCAGCAGAAGGCAGGUUGGGCUCAACACCACCUGGUUGGUUUCCUCCGCCAGAAUCGUAAAGCCAUCGUUCCAGUGCACACCACCUAGCUUGCUCGGCGUCUGCCUGACACACGAGCCGCUGAACCCUAAGGCUGGGACACAGAGCUGAAGAGUGUCCCAGUAAAUACUGACUGACUGAAUCAAUGAUGAGCAUGCAGCAUGCCACACGCUGUCUGCUCCCUCAUGCCUGAAUACACUUGCACCUGGGCCUUGCAGGAAGUGGGACUCCUCCUACUGCACGGGUCCUGCUGGCAGUGGGGAGGGGUUUGAUUCAAAGGUGUCUGUUGACUGCCAGCUGUCUCUUGCAGAAUCAGAACCUAUUGCUGGUCUAGAGAAGUCUUCCUCCCCUCCUACCCCUUCUCCUCCCCCCCUCUCCCCUCCCUGCCCUUUGCAGAGGCCUUGACUUUGUCUCAGAGCCUCCGUCCUCAUCUCUUCACCGUACCUAAGUCUGUGGAGACACAGUGAAGCGCCUUUGGAGCGGAGCCUGCCCUCCAGGGCUUCUCUGGAGGCUCCACCCCCCCCCCCCCUGCCUCCGCCAUGGAGGACUCUUUGUCCUCAAAGGUCCCAUCUCAUCUGGUUCCUCUGGGUCACUGGGACUCUAUUGGGUGCAGCCUCCCUAGGCUAGCAAUAGGCUGCUCACACCCCUAUGGGCUAGGGUGCCUUUUGGGGCUCCCUUCCCAAGAACUUGGUGUCAGACAGUCAUAGACAGAACACACUAUGUCACCACAUGCCGUAAAAGCAAAGAUAGAACUUUAAAGCUCUGUAAAUAUUUAAAAGUAAUGAAAUUAAACUCUGAUGCUCCUAGGAUGAUAGUAAAUCCCAGGGUGCCCAGUGAUGAGGGCCCUCCAUCCAACACAGUAAAAACGCACACAUUGGACAUUAGAAAUGCUCUGCCCAGCCCGUGAAUCGGAAAUAAAACUAACACACACUGUG